RNAcentral lists this ribosomal RNA (406 nucleotides) under uncultured bacterium. Its description in RNAcentral is "partial 16S ribosomal RNA". It matches the Rfam family "Bacterial small subunit ribosomal RNA", at positions 30 to 526 of the family's 1533-position model. The record is from RNAcentral.
AUUGAACGCUGGCGGCAGGCCUAACACAUGCAAGUCGAACGCGUGGCUGACGGGUGAGUAAUGUCUGGGAAACUGCCCGAUGGAGGGGGAUAACUGCUGGACACGGUAGCUAAUACCGCAUACCCUCGGAUGUGCCCAGAUGGGAUUAGCUAGUAGGUGGGGUAACGGCUCACCUAGGCGACGAUCCCUAGCUGGUCUGAGAGGAUGACCAGCAACACUGGAACGGAGACACGGUCCAGACUCCUACGGGAGGAAGCAUUGUGGAAGAUUGCACAAUGGGCGCAAGCCUGAUGCAGCCAUGCCGCGUGUAUGAAGAAGGCCUUCGUGUUGUAAAGUACUUUCAUCGAGGAGGCGUUACUCGCAGAAGAAGCACCGGCUAACUCCAUGCCAGCAGCCGCGGUAAUUC